ACAAGCGGUGGAGCAUGUGGUUAAUUCGACGCAACGCGAAGAACCUUACCAGGGCUUGACAUCCCCUGACCGCGUAUGAAAGUACGUUUUCACCCUCGGGUGACAGGGAGACAGGUGGUGCAUGGUUGUCGUCAGCUCGUGUCGUGAGAUGUUGGGUUAAGUCCCGCAACGAGCGCAACCCUCGCCUUUAGUUGCCAGCAUUCAGUUGGGCACUCUAGAGGGACUGCCGGUGUCAAACCGGAGGAAGGUGGGAUGACGUCAAGUCCUCAUGGCCUUUAUGUCUAGGGCUACACACGUACUACAAUGGCCGGUACAAAGGGCAGCCACUCAGCGAUGAGGCGCUAAUCCCAUAAAGCCGGUCUCAGUCCGGAUCGCAGUCUGCAACUCGACUGCGUGAAGUUGGAAUCGCUAGUAAUCGUAGAUCAGCAUGCUACGGUGAAUACGUUCCCGGGCCUU
This 456-nucleotide ribosomal RNA is filed under the name uncultured Desulfovibrio sp. Its description in RNAcentral is "bacterial SSU rRNA". It matches the Rfam family "Bacterial small subunit ribosomal RNA", at positions 925 to 1382 of the family's 1533-position model. Lineage: Bacteria; Pseudomonadati; Thermodesulfobacteriota; Desulfovibrionia; Desulfovibrionales; Desulfovibrionaceae. The record is from RNAcentral.